AAAUGUAUUUUAUGCUGGAAUUCAGCACAGAGAAGAACAGAGCUGUGAGCAGUCCAACAGGUUGGAGCUGGCUCUACUGAGAGAUUAAUGCAAAUAAAUGCACUAGUUCUCCCUGGUCAAACUUUUUACAGUUCAUCUGUUUGCACUGAAUACAAUGGCUAAAAAAAUAGACAGCUUUCUGGAUUCCUCUUCCUUCUUUCUUGUGAAAUGGAAGACAAUCACAAGACAACCUCUAAUGGAGUCUCUGCUGAAUCCUGCCAUCAAGAGGACACUGAUUUCUGACUUCCAAAGCUCCCUCUUGGAGACUUUCUUGCAUUAAAUAAUAUUUGGAGGAAAACUAGCUUUUGAAUGUCACAGUGUUGCUUAUUAGUGGUUGGUAGGUGUCAAUGUGCUAAUAGACACCUAGACUUCAAAAAAAAAAAAUCAAUAAAUCUCAGCAGCAAAGAGAAAGUUUUGCUGUUUGCAUUAUUCUGGCUGCAGCACAGUGGAUCUGAGGAACCCAGGGGUGGGAGAGAGAAAUGGUGCUUUCAAUAAGGAAUACUGGUGGGAGAAAAGGGAGGGACAGGAAUAGUGUCUGCAAAGAAAAUAUAACAAGAAGAGAGCUUUUAGCUCAGCCAGGAUCACAGAGAACAUGGAGAGGAUGCAAAGGCAGACCACAGAACUGAUGAAAGCAAGAAUUCUUUCAGUUCUUCUAAGUGAACUGUAAAAGAUGUGUUGGAACCAGAAAGCCAUUGAAAAGUCAUUUCAUUGACAUCCCAGAGGAGAAGACCCAUCUUGAACAGGUGUGCUGCAAAGCAGAUUACACCAACACAGGAAAAGAGUUUUAGUAAUUUAUAUACAUUAUCCUACAACCAGAUUAUAAGCAUUUGAAUGUGCUGUCCACAAAGCAAACCCAUCAAAUAUUUAAAGGAAGAUGCCAGCAAGAAAUGUGAUUUAUAGAGGACCUUGAGUGUGAAUAAGUUUCCUGGUCAUUUCAAAGAUGUUGAUACAAAGGCUGUUUUCCAGUUGUGGCUUGUCCUGUUACACUCAAUUUUAACAACCUGACAUGUACCCAAGACCCCUCUUGUCUUCAGGCACACCAGAAAGAAGGACUUUCCUCAACCUGAAUUCCUCAAUCAUGCAGAUUGAUGUUUUACUUGCACACCAGGUGUCACUACUGAUUUGCAUGUGCUCCCCUGAGAUGCAGGUGGUGCUCAUGGUGCUGCUCCUGGGUCCUCCCCUACCCUGGAACAACUGGAGUGCUUAGGGGCACCCAGCUCGUGUGUUGUCACAGAUAUUAAUGAACACACCUUGACUUCCUGCUGAUUUCUUCAUUUCUGCAUAUUCAGUUUCACAAACAC
This is a long non-coding RNA of Chiroxiphia lanceolata (lance-tailed manakin), 1340 nucleotides long. RefSeq lists it as uncharacterized. The record is from RefSeq and is a predicted model, not a curated record. The transcript is spliced from 5 exons. Lineage: Eukaryota; Metazoa; Chordata; Aves; Passeriformes; Pipridae.